This 67-nucleotide ribosomal RNA is filed under the name Morganella morganii. RNAcentral's name for it is "partial 16S ribosomal RNA". It matches the Rfam family "Bacterial small subunit ribosomal RNA", at positions 1 to 67 of the family's 1533-position model. Lineage: Bacteria; Pseudomonadati; Pseudomonadota; Gammaproteobacteria; Enterobacterales; Morganellaceae. The record is from RNAcentral.
UAAUUGAAGAGUUUGAUCAUGGCUCAGAUUGAACGCUGGCGGCAGGCCUAACACAUGCAAGUCGGGC